UACGUAGGGGCCAAGCGUUGUCCGGAUUUAUUGGGCGUAAAGAGCUCGUAGGCGGUUCGGCAAGUCGAAUGUGAAAUCUCCACGCUCAACGUGGAGGGGUCAUUCGAUACUGCCGUGACUCGAGUCCGGUAGGGGAGUGUGGAAUUCCCGGUGUAGCGGUGAAAUGCGCAGAGAUCGGGAGGAACACCCGUAGCGAAGGCGGCACUCUGGGCCGGUACUGACGCUGAGGAGCGAAAGCGUGGGGAGCGAACAGG
This 254-nucleotide ribosomal RNA is filed under the name uncultured bacterium. RNAcentral's name for it is "partial 16S ribosomal RNA". It matches the Rfam family "Bacterial small subunit ribosomal RNA", at positions 524 to 776 of the family's 1533-position model. The record is from RNAcentral.